This 450-nucleotide ribosomal RNA is filed under the name uncultured bacterium. Its description in RNAcentral is "partial 16S ribosomal RNA". It matches the Rfam family "Bacterial small subunit ribosomal RNA", at positions 338 to 795 of the family's 1533-position model. The record is from RNAcentral.
CCUACGGGUGGCUGCAGUGAGGAAUAUUGGACAAUGGAUGGAAAUCUGAUCCAGCCAUGCCGCGUGCAGGAAGACGGCCCUAUGGGUUGUAAACUGCUUUUGUGUGGGAGCAAUAAGGUCUAUGCGUAGACUGAUGAGAGUACCAUACGAAUAAGCAUCGGCUAACUCCGUGCCAGCAGCCGCGGUAAUACGGGGGAUGCAAGCGUUAUCCGGAUUUAUGGGGGUGUAAGGGUGCGGAUAAGUCUUGAUAGAAAUAUUUCAGCUUAACUGAAAGGGUGCCGUUGAUACUGUCAGGCUUGAAUAUGGUUGCUGUGGGUGGAAUGUGUGGUGUAGCGGUGAAAUGCUUAGAUAUCACACAGAAUAUCGAUUGCGAAGGCAGCUCACAAAGCCAUUAUUGACGCUGAUGCACGAAAGUGUGGGGAUCAAACAGGAUUAGAUACCCUUGUAGUC